RNAcentral lists this transfer RNA (66 nucleotides) under Echinoparyphium aconiatum. RNAcentral describes it as "tRNA-Glu". Lineage: Eukaryota; Metazoa; Platyhelminthes; Trematoda; Plagiorchiida; Echinostomatidae. The record is from RNAcentral.
GUCGAUUAGGUGUUGUUUAUACAUGUCAGUUUUUCGUACUGGAGUCAAUCUUAGGGUUAGUCGAUG